Molecule: ribosomal RNA, 494 nt
Filed under: uncultured bacterium
Lineage: Bacteria
Description: partial 16S ribosomal RNA
Rfam family: Bacterial small subunit ribosomal RNA
Source: RNAcentral
GACGAACGCUGGCGGCGUGCUUAACACAUGCAAGUCGAACGGAAAGGCCUGCUUUCCCUUGUGGAUUGCGGGUACUCGAGUGGCGAACGGGUGAGUAACACGUGAGUGAUCUGCCCCCAACUUGGGUAUAAGCCUGGGAAACUGGGUCUAAUUCCCGAUAGGACUGCAGGGUGGUGCCUGUGGUGGAAAACGAUUUUCUAGUGGUUGGGGAUGAGCUCGCGGCCUAUCAGCUUGUUGGUGGGGUAAUGGCCUACCAAGGCGGCGACGGGUAGCCGGCCUGAGAGGGUGGACGGCCACAUUGGGACUGAGAUACGGCCCAGACGCCUACGGGAGGCAGCAGUGGGGAAUAGUGCACAAUGGGCGGAAGCCUGAUGCAGCGACGCCGCGUGGGGGAUGACGGCCUUCGGGUGGUAAACUCCUUUCGACCGCGAGGAAGCCACCUGGUUGGAAGGGUGGUGACGGUAGUGGUAGAAGAAGCACCGGCUAACUACGUG